AUUGAACGCUGGCGGCAGGCCUAACACAUGCAAGUCGAGCGGAUGAAGGGAGCUUGCUCCUGGAUUCAGCGGCGGACGGGUGAGUAAUGCCUAGGAAUCUGCCUGGUAGUGGGGGAUAACGUCCGGAAACGGGCGCUAAUACCGCAUACGUCCUGAGGGAGAAAGUGGGGGAUCUUCGGACCUCACGCUAUCAGAUGAGCCUAGGUCGGAUUAGCUAGUUGGUGGGGUAAAGGCCUACCAAGGCGACGAUCCGUAACUGGUCUGAGAGGAUGAUCAGUCACACUGGAACUGAGACACGGUCCAGACUGCUACGGGAGGCAGCAGUGGAGAAUAUUGGACAAUGGGCGAAAGCCUGAUCCAGCCAUGCCGCGUGUGUGAAGAAGGUCUUCGGAUUGUAAAGCACUUUAAGUUGGGAGGAAGGGCAGUAAGUUAAUACCUUGCUGUUUUGACGUUACCAACAGAAUAAGCACCGGCUAACUUCG
This 482-nucleotide ribosomal RNA is filed under the name uncultured bacterium. RNAcentral describes it as "partial 16S ribosomal RNA". It matches the Rfam family "Bacterial small subunit ribosomal RNA", at positions 30 to 505 of the family's 1533-position model. The record is from RNAcentral.